GAUGAAGAACGCAGCGAAAUGCGAUAAGUAAUGCGAAUUGCAGAAUCCGUGAGUCAUCGAGUCUUUGAACGCACAUUGCGCCCCCUGGUAUUCCGGGGGGCAUGCCUGUCCGAGCGUCAUUGCUGCCCUCAAGCACGGCUUGUGUGUUGGGCUCCGUCCCCCCGGGGACGGGCCCGAAAGGCAGCGGCGGCACCGAGUCCGGUCCUCGAGCGUAUGGGGCUUUGUCACCCGCUCUGUAGGCCCGGCCGGCGCCAGCCGACAACCCAUCAUCCUUUUCAGGUUGACCUCGGAUCAGGUAGGGAUACCCGCUGAACUUAAGCAUAUAAUAAGCGGAGGA
This 337-nucleotide unclassified non-coding RNA is filed under the name soil metagenome. Its description in RNAcentral is "partial contains 5.8S ribosomal RNA, internal transcribed spacer 2, and large subunit ribosomal RNA". The stretch from base 1 to 119 matches the Rfam family "5.8S ribosomal RNA", at positions 35 to 154 of the family's 154-position model. The record is from RNAcentral.